This 511-nucleotide ribosomal RNA is filed under the name uncultured Megasphaera sp. RNAcentral's name for it is "bacterial SSU rRNA". It matches the Rfam family "Bacterial small subunit ribosomal RNA", at positions 52 to 525 of the family's 1533-position model. Lineage: Bacteria; Bacillati; Bacillota; Negativicutes; Veillonellales; Veillonellaceae. The record is from RNAcentral.
CACAUGCAAGUCGAACGAGAGGACAUGGGGAAGCUUGCUUCCUAUGAAAUCGAGUGGGCAAACGGGUGAGUAAACGCGUAAACAACCUGCCCUUCGGAUGGGGAUAACAGCCGGAAACGGCUGCUAAUACCGAAUACGAUCUUUUCGUCGCAUGACGGAAAGAAGAAAAAGGAUGGCCUCUAUACAAAGCUAUCGCCGAAGGAGGGGUUUGCGUCUGAUUAGCUGGUUGGAGGGUAACGGCCCAACAAGGCGAUGAUCAGUAGCCGGUCUGAGAGGAUGAACGGCCACAUUGGGACUGAGACACGGCCCAGACUCCUACGGGAGGCAGCAGUGGGGAAUCUUCCGCAAUGGACGAAAGUCUGACGGAGCAACGCCGCGUGAGUGAAGAAGGUCUUCGGAUUGUAAAGCUCUGUUAUACGGGACGAAAAAGACGGAUGCCAACAGUAUCCGUCCGUGACGGUACCGUAAGAGAAAGCCACGGGCUAACUACGUACCAGCAGCCGCGGUAAAU